AUAAAUAUUUUGCAUAAUAACGUUAUGAUUUUUGUGUGUGAGAGAUAAUAAAGUGAGAGAUACUGUGAUAUAGCAUGCAAUUAUUUUUAAUAAUAUGAUAUUUUUUAUAACAUCAAAAAUCAUAAUCAAAAUUGUCAUAAUUGUGAUCAAUAAAAAAAUGAUAACUUAUGAUCGUAUGCAAAUGGCCUUAAAAAUCACAAUUUAUCAUUACAUGAAAAUGUAACAUAAGGCAUAUAAUGAAAAAAGUAGUAUCGAAUCCUCUCUUUUAUUUUAGUACGGCAUCAUAGAGCCAGUUAUUUUAUUCUGUGUUGACCAGUCUCUAUUCUUUGUUGUAAUUAUUUAGGUUAUGUUUAUCAAAAUGAUAUUGAUAUCUAAUUGUUUUUAUAUAACUUUAAUUUUAAAAAGUUAUUUAAAUUAAAGUGAUUUGGUGAUUACACAAGCUUAGAUUCACAAUAUUCUAUAUAUUUUGUGAGGAUGGACAAGAGAGUUGAAACAGUUAUUGCGAGUCUGUAUCUUGUUGAACCUUGUUCUAUUGUCCCAAUCAUUGGUUUUGUGUUUGCAAUAUGGAGAGAUAAAAACAAUUCGUUAAUUAAACACAAUGUUUCAGGAAGAGGAGAAUAUAUGACGCUGUCCCCACUAUUUCUAGAUUAAGCAGAUGUCACGUGACUAGAUAUCCAGCAAAGCCAAACAUGUCUGCAACUGUGUUUAGAAUUUGUCAUUAUUAUUAUUAUUUUAGAAAAUAUUAUUCGGUGGUCUCUUCUGCGAUAUCCAAAAUGAUGGCGUUCUUCAUAUAUGUACUUUUUCAAAACAAUUGGUCGACGCAAUCUUUGAAAAUUUUUUAAACAGCAUAUUUUUUUGGAAUUGGAUCAAGAAUUUUUCCAUGAGUUAUCGUAGUCCUAUUACUUAUCAUAAAACCUAAAUAUAUUUACGAGACGAGUUAUGGUACAUGUAUAUACGCAUGAUAAUGAACGCAUGGAAAGGAUAAAAUUAGCUCAGUUUUCAGAUUCUUACAUAUUGAA
Molecule: long non-coding RNA, 1019 nt
Organism: Apis laboriosa (Himalayan honeybee)
Lineage: Eukaryota; Metazoa; Arthropoda; Insecta; Hymenoptera; Apidae
Exons: 5
Source: RefSeq, a predicted model, not a curated record